UGGCUCAGAUUGAACGCUGGCGGCAGGCCUAACACAUGCAAGUCGAGCGGUAACACAGGAGAGCUUGCUCUCUGGGUGACGAGCGGCGGACGGGUGAGUAAUGUCUGGGAAACUGCCCGAUGGAGGGGGAUAACUACUGGAAACGGUAGCUAAUACCGCAUAACGUCUUCGGACCAAAGAGGGGGACCUUCGGGCCUCUUGCCAUCGGAUGUGCCCAGAUGGGAUUAGCUAGUAGGUGGGGUAAUGGCUCACCUAGGCGACGAUCCCUAGCUGGUCUGAGAGGAUGACCAGCCACACUGGAACUGAGACACGGUCCAGACUCCUACGGGAGGCAGCAGUGGGGAAUAUUGCACAAUGGGCGCAAGCCUGAUGCAGCCAUGCCGCGUGUAUGAAGAAGGCCUUCGGGUUGUAAAGUACUUUCAGCGAGGAGGAAGGCAUUAAGGUUAAUAACCUUAGUGAUUGACGUUACUCGCAGAAGAAGCACCGGCUAACUCCGUGCCAGCAGCCGCGGUAAUACGGAGGGUGCAAGCGUUAAUCGGAAUUACUGGGCGUAAAGCGCACGCAGGCGGUCUGUCAAGUCGGAUGUGAAAUCCCCGGGCUCAACCUGGGAACUGCAUUCGAAACUGGCAGGCUAGAGUCUUGUAGAGGGGGGUAGAAUUCCAGGUGUAGCGGUGAAAUGCGUAGAGAUCUGGAGGAAUACCGGUGGCGAAGGCGGCCCCCUGGACAAAGACUGACG
This 736-nucleotide ribosomal RNA is filed under the name Buttiauxella sp. 110518_136_C_B11. Its description in RNAcentral is "bacterial SSU rRNA". It matches the Rfam family "Bacterial small subunit ribosomal RNA", at positions 20 to 745 of the family's 1533-position model. The record is from RNAcentral. RNAcentral also lists the same sequence under 1 other name. Lineage: Bacteria; Pseudomonadati; Pseudomonadota; Gammaproteobacteria; Enterobacterales; Enterobacteriaceae.